Long non-coding RNA from Myotis myotis, 1325 nucleotides. RefSeq lists it as uncharacterized. The transcript has 3 exons. The record is from RefSeq and is a predicted model, not a curated record. NCBI's taxonomy places the organism in Eukaryota, Metazoa, Chordata, Mammalia, Chiroptera, Vespertilionidae.
CUUCAUCAUCCAGCCAUCUAAACACCUAGUAGCCCUAACAAUACUGGUGACUUCUGCAUUGAUUGCCACCCACCCUGCCUCACUUUAUUUGAAUCACUCAUCACUGAUUCACUUUAUUGCUGUUGACUCUGAUAGGUCUAGCAAGGUCAUUAGUACCAUACCCACCAGGGUAUUGGUUGGCUGCCUCCUGCAUCCCCCCCAUUGGGGAUUGAACCUGCAAACCAGGCAUGGGCCCCGAACCACAACCUCAGGGUUCAUAGGUUGGUGAUCAACCACUGAACCACACCGCUUUGGUGAGCAAUAGAAACUCUAAGAAAGAACCAAAUGUAAAUUCUAGAACUGAAUGAUGCAGUAUGUGAAAUUUAAAAAAAUUACUGGAAGGGCUUAAUAGAAGAAUGGAGAUGGCAGAAGAAAGAGUCAGUGACCUUGAAGAUAAAUAGAAAUUAUUCAAUCUGAAGAACAGAGGAAGGCAUUUUUUUAAAUGAGUAGAAACUCAGGAAUAGUGGAACAAUAUAUAUAUAAAAAAAAAACCCUCUAAUAUGCAUGUCCUUGGAGUGCUAGAGGAGAGAAGAGAAUGAGGCAGAAAAAAUAUUUGAAGAAAUAAUGGCUGGAAAUUUCCCAGCUGUUGAAAAAGGCAUCUAUCUUCAGGUUUAAGAAGUUCAAUAAAUUCAAAGCAGAACUAAAAAUAAACAAAAGAGCACACAUGGGCCCAUCAAAGUCACAUUGCUGGAAACUAAAGAUAAAAAGAAAAUCUUGAAGGCAUCCAGAGAAAAAGAACACAUCGCAAUCACAGAACCACAUUUUCAAUGUCACUGCUUUCUCAUCAAAACCAGCACAGACCAGAAAGAAGUGGAACAACUUCUUCAAAACAUUGGAGGGAAAAAGCGUCAACUCAGUGUUGCUUUUCCAGCAAAAAUAUUCUUCAAGAAAGAAGAUGAAAUAAAAGCAUCUUCAGAUAAAAAGAAAACUUAGAAAACUUGUCAUCAGCAGACCUACAUUAAGAAAGACGCUAAACUUCUUCAGGCUGAAGGGAAAGAAAUCCAGAUGGAAGAACAGAGUUGCUAGAUGAAUAAAGAGAAAUGGUAAAUUUCUGGGGCGUGACCAGAGGCUACGCAAGCUAAUGUGAGCCCAUGAUGAGCCAAGGCUACAUCUGCUCUGCAUGGGUCCCCAGAUAUAGGUUAAGAGGAUUGAAUCAAAGAAAUAAAGGGAGCAAUCUACAAAACUGUGAGUACACAAUGUUCGCAAAAAUAGAAACACGAGAACAAUCUAAAACAACUGUGACCGGCCCAGCAGCAUGGAUCAGUAGUUGAGCAUCAACCGAUGAA